RNAcentral lists this ribosomal RNA (459 nucleotides) under uncultured bacterium. Its description in RNAcentral is "partial 16S ribosomal RNA". It matches the Rfam family "Bacterial small subunit ribosomal RNA", at positions 338 to 795 of the family's 1533-position model. The record is from RNAcentral.
CCUACGGGUGGCAGCAGUGAGGAAUAUUGGUCAAUGGGCGCGAGCCUGAACCAGCCAAGUCGCGUGAGGGAAGACGGUCCUAUGGAUUGUAAACUUCUUUUGUCGGGGAGCAAAAGACGCCACGCGUGGCGUUCCGAGUGUACCCGAAGAAAAAGCAUCGGCUAACUCCGUGCCAGCAGCCGCGGUAAUACGGAGGAUGCGAGCGUUAUCCGGAUUUAUUGGGUUUAAAGGGUGCGCAGGGGGAAGAUCAAGUCAGCGGUAAAAUUGAGGGGCUCAACCUCUUCGAGCCGUUGAAACUGGUUGUCUUGAGUGAGUGUGAGGUAUGCGGAAUGCGUGGUGUAGCGGUGAAAUGCAUAGAUAUCACGCAGAACUCCGAUUGCGAAGGCAGCAUACCGGCGCUCAACUGACGCUGAUGCACGAAAGUGUGGGUAUCGAACAGGAUUAGAUACCCUGGUAGUC